RNAcentral lists this ribosomal RNA (156 nucleotides) under Dictyosphaerium ehrenbergianum. RNAcentral describes it as "5.8S ribosomal RNA". It matches the Rfam family "5.8S ribosomal RNA". Rfam says of the family: 5.8S ribosomal RNA (5.8S rRNA) is a component of the large subunit of the eukaryotic ribosome. It is transcribed by RNA polymerase I as part of the 45S precursor that also contains 18S and 28S rRNA. The record is from RNAcentral. Lineage: Eukaryota; Viridiplantae; Chlorophyta; Trebouxiophyceae; Chlorellales; Chlorellaceae.
CAACUCUCAACAACGGAUAUCUUGGCUCCCGUAUCGAUGAAGAACGCAGCGAAAUGCGAUACGUAGUGUGAAUUGCAGAAUUCCGUGAACCAUCGAAUCUUUGAACGCAACUUGCGCCCGCGGCUUCGGCCAAGGGCAUGUCUGCCUCAGCGUCGG